UACGUAGGGUGCAAGCGUUAAUCGGAAUUACUGGGCGUAAAGCGUGCGCAGGCGGUGAUGUAAGACAGAUGUGAAAUCCCCGGGCUCAACCUGGGAACUGCAUUUGUGACUGCAUCGCUGGAGUGCGGCAGAGGGGGAUGGAAUUCCGCGUGUAGCAGUGAAAUGCGUAGAUAUGCGGAGGAACACCGAUGGCGAAGGCAAUCCCCUGGGCCUGCACUGACGCUCAUGCACGAAAGCGUGGGAGC
This 245-nucleotide ribosomal RNA is filed under the name uncultured bacterium. RNAcentral's name for it is "partial 16S ribosomal RNA". It matches the Rfam family "Bacterial small subunit ribosomal RNA", at positions 524 to 769 of the family's 1533-position model. The record is from RNAcentral.